AUACGUAGGGGGCAAGCGUUAUCCGGAUUUACUGGGUGUAAAGGGAGCGUAGACGGAAGGCCAAGUCUGAUGUGAAAGCCCGCGGCUCAACUGCGGGACUGCAUUGGAAACUGGUCAUCUGGAGUGCAGGAGGGGUAAGCGGAAUUCCUAGUGUAGCGGUGAAAUGCGUAGAUAUUAGGAGGAACACCGGUGGCGAAGGCGACUUACUGGACUGUAACUGACGCUGAGGCGCGAAAGUGUGGGGAGCAAACAGGAUUAGAUACCCUGGUAGUCCACACUGUAAACGAUGAAUGCUAGGUGUAGGGGGUAUCGACCCCUUCUGUGCCGCAGUCAACACAAUAAGCAUUCCGCCUGGGGAGUACGGCCGCAAGGUUGAAACUCAAAUGAAUUGGCGGGG
RNAcentral lists this ribosomal RNA (397 nucleotides) under uncultured bacterium. RNAcentral describes it as "partial 16S ribosomal RNA". It matches the Rfam family "Bacterial small subunit ribosomal RNA", at positions 523 to 918 of the family's 1533-position model. The record is from RNAcentral.